Small nucleolar RNA from Apodemus sylvaticus (European woodmouse), 122 nucleotides. RefSeq annotates it as small nucleolar RNA SNORA40. The transcript has a single exon. The record is from RefSeq and is a predicted model, not a curated record. NCBI's taxonomy places the organism in Eukaryota, Metazoa, Chordata, Mammalia, Rodentia, Muridae.
UGCUUGUGUGCGUUUGUUCAACUUUUGGACAAAGACAAAAUGAGACACAGAUGCGAAGAUGAGUCUUUCACAACCCCAAACUCAUUAUUCAGUAUAAGUUUUGAUACGUAUAAUAAGGAAUU